GACGAACGCUGGCGGCGUGCUUAACACAUGCAAGUCGAACGGUGAAGCGCCUUCCUUUUUGGUGGGUGUGGAUGAGCGGCGAACGGGUGAGUAACACGUGAGUAACCUGCCCCCUUCUUCUGGAUAACCGCAUGAAAGUGUGGCUAAUACGGGAUAUUCUGGGUCUGUCGCAUGAUGGGUCUGGGAAAGAUAUUGUUUCGGUGGGGGAUGGGCUCGCGGCCUAUCAGCUUGUUGGUGGGGUGAUGGCCUACCAAGGCGGUGACGGGUAGCCGGCCUGAGAGGGUGGACGGUCACACUGGGACUGAGACACGGCCCAGACUCCUACGGGAGGCAGCAGUGGGGAAUAUUGCACAAUGGGCGCAAGCCUGAUGCAGCGACGCCGCGUGAGGGAUGGAGGCCUUCGGGUUGUGAACCUCUUUCGCCAGUGAAGCAGGCCUGCCUCGUUUGUGGGUGGGUUGACGGUAGCUGGAUAAGAAGCGCCGGCUAACUACGU
RNAcentral lists this ribosomal RNA (493 nucleotides) under uncultured bacterium. RNAcentral's name for it is "partial 16S ribosomal RNA". It matches the Rfam family "Bacterial small subunit ribosomal RNA", at positions 28 to 506 of the family's 1533-position model. The record is from RNAcentral.